Molecule: ribosomal RNA, 235 nt
Filed under: Bacillus sp. CH140a_4T
Lineage: Bacteria; Bacillati; Bacillota; Bacilli; Caryophanales; Bacillaceae
Description: partial 16S ribosomal RNA
Rfam family: Bacterial small subunit ribosomal RNA
Source: RNAcentral
UUUAUUGGAGAGUUUGAUCCUGGCUCAGGAUGAACGCUGGCGGCGUGCCUAAUACAUGCAAGUCGAGCGAAUGGAUUGAGAGCUUGCUCUCAAGAAGUUAGCGGCGGACGGGUGAGUAACACGUGGGUAACCUACCUAUAAGACUGGGAUAACUCCGGGAAACCGGGGCUAAUACCGGAUAAUAUUUUGAACUGCAUGGUUCGAAAUUGAAAGGCGGCUUCGGCUGUCACUUAUG